RNAcentral lists this ribosomal RNA (789 nucleotides) under Methanoculleus sp. enrichment culture clone A14111. Its description in RNAcentral is "bacterial SSU rRNA". It matches the Rfam family "Archaeal small subunit ribosomal RNA", at positions 85 to 879 of the family's 1478-position model. Lineage: Archaea; Methanobacteriati; Methanobacteriota; Methanomicrobia; Methanomicrobiales; Methanomicrobiaceae. The record is from RNAcentral.
ACUGCUCAGUAACACGUGGAUAACCUGCCCUAAGGAAGGGGAUAACCUCGGGAAACUGAGGAUAAUACCCUAUAGGUUACAGACGCUGGAAUGCCCUGUAACCGAAAGUUCCGGCGCCUUAGGAUGGAUCUGCGGCCGAUUAGGUUGUUGUUGGGGUAACGGCCCAACAAGCCGAUAAUCGGUACGGGUUGUGGGAGCAAGAGCCCGGAGUUGGAUUCUGAGACAUGAAUCCAGGCCCUACGGGGCGCAGCAGGCGCGAAAACUUUACAAUGCGGGAAACCGUGAUAAGGGAACCCCGAGUGCCUGUAUAUGCAGGCUGUCCAGGUGUCUAAAAAACACCUGAAGAAAGGGCCGGGCAAGACCGGUGCCAGCCGCCGCGGUAAUACCGGCGGCUCGAGUGGUGGCCACUUUUAUUGGGCUUAAAGCGUUCGUAGCUGGGUUGUUAAGUCUCUUGGGAAAUCUGACGGCUCAACCGUCAGGCGUCCAAGGGAUACUGGCAAUCUUGGAACCGGGAGAGGUGAGGGGUACUUCGGGGGUAGGAGUGAAAUCCUGUAAUCCUCGAGGGACCACCUGUGGCGAAGGCGCCUCACCAGAACGGCUUCGACAGUGAGGGACGAAAGCUGGGGGAGCAAACCGGAUUAGAUACCCGGGUAGUCCCAGCCGUAAACGAUGCGCGUUAAGUGUAUCGGUGACCACGAGUCACCGAGGUGCCGAAGGGAAACCGUGAAACGUGCCGCCUGGGAAGUACGGUCGCAAGGCUGAAACUUAAAGGAAUUGGCGGGGGAGCAC